UACGUAGGGUGCAAGCGUUGUCCGGAAUUAUUGGGCGUAAAGAGCGUGUAGGCGGCCAGGUAGGUCUGCUGUGAAAACUCGAGGCUCAACCUCGAGCUGUCGGUGGAAACCAUCUGGCUAGAGUCCGGAAGAGGAGAAUGGAAUUCCUGGUGUAGCGGUGAAAUGCGCAGAUAUCAGGAAGAACACCCGUGGCGAAGGCGGUUCUCUGGGACGGUACUGACGCUGAGACGCGAAAGCGUGGGGAGCAAACAGG
This 253-nucleotide ribosomal RNA is filed under the name uncultured bacterium. RNAcentral's name for it is "partial 16S ribosomal RNA". It matches the Rfam family "Bacterial small subunit ribosomal RNA", at positions 524 to 776 of the family's 1533-position model. The record is from RNAcentral.